Molecule: ribosomal RNA, 450 nt
Filed under: uncultured bacterium
Lineage: Bacteria
Description: partial 16S ribosomal RNA
Rfam family: Bacterial small subunit ribosomal RNA
Source: RNAcentral
GUGGGGAAUUUUGGACAAUGGGCGCAAGCCUGAUCCAGCCAUUCCGCGUGCAGGAUGAAGGCCUUCGGGUUGUAAACUGCUUUUGUACGGAACGAAAAGCCUCUGGUUAAUACCCGGGGGUCAUGACGGUACCGUAAGAAUAAGCACCGGCUAACUACGUGCCAGCAGCCGCGGUAAUACGUAGGGUGCGAGCGUUUAUCGGAAUUACUGGGCGUAAAGCGUGCGCAGGCGGUGAUGUAAGACAGUUGUGAAAUCCCCGGGCUCAACCUGGGAACUGCAUCUGUGACUGCAUUGCUGGAGUGCGGCAGAGGGGGAUGGAAUUCCGCGUGUAGCAGUGAAAUGCGUAGAUAUGCGGAGGAACACCGAUGGCGAAGGCAAUCCCCUGGGCCUGCACUGACGCUCAUGCACGAAAGCGUGGGGAGCAAACAGGAUUAGAUACCCUUGUAGUCC